GCGCCCAUAGCUCAGUUGGUAGAGCAACGGACUUUUAAUCCGUGGGUCCCAGGUUCGAGACCUGGUGGGCGCACCA
Molecule: transfer RNA, 76 nt
Filed under: Methanobacteriota archaeon
Lineage: Archaea; Methanobacteriati; Methanobacteriota
Description: Euryarchaeota archaeon tRNA-Lys
Rfam family: tRNA
About the family: Transfer RNA (tRNA) molecules are approximately 80 nucleotides in length.
Source: RNAcentral